Molecule: ribosomal RNA, 465 nt
Filed under: Vreelandella stevensii
Lineage: Bacteria; Pseudomonadati; Pseudomonadota; Gammaproteobacteria; Oceanospirillales; Halomonadaceae
Description: partial 16S ribosomal RNA
Rfam family: Bacterial small subunit ribosomal RNA
Source: RNAcentral
CCUACGGGUGGCUGCAGUGGGGAAUAUUGGACAAUGGGCGAAAGCCUGAUCCAGCCAUGCCGCGUGUGUGAAGAAGGCCUUCGGGUUGUAAAGCACUUUCAGUGGGGAAGAAAGCCUUGGGGCUAAUACCCUCGAGGAAGGACAUCACCCACAGAAGAAGCACCGGCUAACUCCGUGCCAGCAGCCGCGGUAAUACGGAGGGUGCGAGCGUUAAUCGGAAUUACUGGGCGUAAAGCGCGCGUAGGCGGUCUGAUAAGCCGGUUGUGAAAGCCCCGGGCUCAACCUGGGAACGGCAUCCGGAACUGUCAGGCUAGAGGGCAGGAGAGGAAGGUAGAAUUCCCGGUGUAGCGGUGAAAUGCGUAGAGAUCGGGAGGAAUACCAGUGGCGAAGGCGGCCUUCUGGACUGACACUGACGCUGAGGUGCGAAAGCGUGGGUAGCAAACAGGAUUAGAUACCCCUGUAGUC